AGCUGCGAUCAUACCAGCACUAAUGCUAUGGAUCCCAUUAGAACUCCGCAGUAAAGCAUGCUUUGGCGAGAGUAGUUUUAGGAUGGGUGUGUUAAGAUAAAAUCUCAAAUUAAAGUUU
This 118-nucleotide ribosomal RNA is filed under the name Cicer arietinum (chickpea). The record is from RNAcentral. Lineage: Eukaryota; Viridiplantae; Streptophyta; Magnoliopsida; Fabales; Fabaceae.